AAUGGUAAAGACAUGAAAUAUAUUCCCUUGUUAUACAGGUAGGCGCCUAAUGGUGAAGACAUGAAAUGUAUUCCCUUGUUAUGCAGGUGGGCGCCUAAUGGUAAAGACAUGAAAUGUAUUCCCUUGUUAUGCAGGUGGGCGCCUAUUGGUAAAGACAUGAAAUGUAUUCCCUUGUUAUCCAGGUGGGCGCCUAAUGGUAAAGACAUGAAAUGUAUUCCCUUGUUAUACAGGUGGGCGCCUAAUGGUAAAGACAUGAAAUGUAUUCCCUUGUUAUACAGGUGGGCGCCUAAUGGUAAAGACAUGAAAUGUAUUCCCUUGUUUUACAGGUGGGCGCCUAAUGGUAAAGACAUGAAAUGUAUUCCCUUGUUAUACAGGUGGGUGCCUAAUGGUAAAGACAUGAAAUGUAUUCCCUUGUUAUACAGGUGGGCGCCUAAUGGUAAAGACAUGAAAUGUAUUCCCUUGUUAUACAGGUGGGCGCCUAAUUAGUAAAGACAUGAAACGUAUUCCCUUGUUAUACAGGUGGGCGCCUAAUGGUAAAGACAUGAAAUGCAUUCCCUUGUUAUACAGGUGGGCGCCUAAUUG
This 582-nucleotide long non-coding RNA is filed under the name Nicotiana tabacum (common tobacco). RNAcentral describes it as "long non-coding RNA (NTAB_LNC019523)". Lineage: Eukaryota; Viridiplantae; Streptophyta; Magnoliopsida; Solanales; Solanaceae. The record is from RNAcentral.